Molecule: unclassified non-coding RNA, 347 nt
Filed under: fungal sp.
Lineage: Eukaryota; Fungi
Description: partial internal transcribed spacer region
Rfam family: Eukaryotic small subunit ribosomal RNA (bases 1-46)
Source: RNAcentral
AAGUCGUGACAAGGUUUCCGUAGGUGAACCUGCGGAAGGAUCAUUAACACAUAUCCAACGUUAAACACCCGUGCACCUUCAUCUUACAGCACUGAAACGAUUCUUUGCGGCAUGUUAAGUCGUGACCCACCGGGAUCUAGGGAGUUUACCCAGGGAGAACCUCGCGAAAUGGGACCACAACUGGGGCGAUGCAAACGUGGUCUCCAGGGCGUCUUGUUUGUACCUUUUGUCCUCGACACGUACAGCUUGCCGCGAAGAAUUUUCGCUUGCGAAUCCACCAUACCCACCGCAGGAAAACUAUGUCCUCCGGGGCUUCCAGCUGGUAACCCGACUAACUGGGAACAAUC